RNAcentral lists this ribosomal RNA (492 nucleotides) under uncultured Alphaproteobacteria bacterium. Its description in RNAcentral is "bacterial SSU rRNA". It matches the Rfam family "Bacterial small subunit ribosomal RNA", at positions 62 to 600 of the family's 1533-position model. The record is from RNAcentral. Lineage: Bacteria; Pseudomonadati; Pseudomonadota; Alphaproteobacteria.
UCGAGCGAGACCUUCGGGUCUAGCGGCGGACGGGUGAGUAACGCGUGGGAACGUGCCCUUCUCUGCGGAAUAGCCACUGGAAACGGUGAGUAAUACCGCAUACGCCCUUCGGGGGAAAGAUUUAUCGGAGAAGGAUCGGCCCGCGUCUGAUUAGGUAGUUGGUGGGGUAAUGGCCUACCAAGCCUACGAUCUAUAGCUGGUUUUAGAGGAUGAUCAGCAACACUGGGACUGAGACACGGCCCAGACUCCUACGGGAGGCAGCAGUGGGGAAUCUUAGACAAUGGGCGCAAGCCUGAUCUAGCCAUGCCGCGUGAGUGAUGAAGGCCUUAGGGUCGUAAAGCUCUUUCGCCUGUGAUGAUAAUGACAGUAGCAGGUAAAGAAACCCCGGCUAACUCCGUGCCAGCAGCCGCGGUAAUACGGAGGGGGUUAGCGUUGUUCGGAAUUACUGGGCGUAAAGCGCACGUAGGCGGAUUAGAAAGUUAGGGGUGAAAU